RNAcentral lists this ribosomal RNA (497 nucleotides) under Phoma sp. LVPEI.H1420_11. RNAcentral's name for it is "eukaryotic LSU rRNA". The stretch from base 168 to 322 matches the Rfam family "5.8S ribosomal RNA". Lineage: Eukaryota; Fungi; Ascomycota; Dothideomycetes; Pleosporales; Didymellaceae. The record is from RNAcentral.
GGUGAACCUGCGGAAGGAUCAUUACCUAGAGUUUGUAGGCUUUGCCUGCUAUCUCUUACCCAUGUCUUUUGAGUACCUUCGUUUCCUCGGCGGGUCCGCCCGCCGGUUGGACAACCAUAAACCAUUUGCAGUUGCAAUCAGCGUCUGAACAAACUUUUAAUAGUUACAACUUUCAACAACGGAUCUCUUGGUUCUGGCAUCGAUGAAGAACGCAGCGAAAUGCGAUAAGUAGUGUGAAUUGCAGAAUUCAGUGAAUCAUUGAAUCUUUGAACGCACAUUGCGCCCCUUGGUAUUCCAUGGGGCAUGCAGAGAGCGAGCGUCAUUUGUACCUUCAAGCUCUGCUUGGUGUUGGGUGUUUGUCUCGCCUCUGCGCGCAGACUCGCCUCUUUUCAAUUGGCAGCCGGCGUAUUGAUUUCGGAGCGCAGUUCUUCUUUCCUUUGCACUCACAACGACGACGUCCACAAGUACAUUUUUACACUCUUGACCUCGGAUUCAGG